GGGAGUGAGACUGCGGGCGACAAGGUUCGUAGUCGAGAGGGAAACAGCCCGACCGCCGGCUAAGGUCCCGGAUAGCAUGCUGAGUGUAAAUGAUGUGCCAUGGCGCAGACAGCCAGGAGGUUGGCUUAGAAGCAGCCAUUCCUUGAAAGAGUGCGUAAUAGCUCACUGGUCGAGUCAGGCGCGCAGACAAUGUAACGGGGCUAAGCAUGCAACCGAAGCCGCGGAUUCGCACAGCAAUGUACGGUUGGUAGGGGAGCAUUCCGCAGACCGACGAAGGCGUACUUGUAAGGUGCGCUGGAGGGAGCGGAAGAGAGAAUGCAGGUAUAAGUACACGAAAAGACGGGUGAGAUCCCCGUCCGCCGAAGCCUAAGGAUUCCUGGGUAAAGGUCAUCUGCCCAGGGUAAGUCGGCCCCUAAGACGAGGGCGAAAGCCGUAGCCGAUGGGAAACUGGUUCAAAUUCCAGUACCGUUUUUGGUUUUAUGGGAUGACGCGUGAGGUGAAACCCGGCCGGGCGACGGUUGCCCCGGUCGAAGCCGCGAGCUAUUGGGAUGGAGGAAACAUUUUCWGGUGAGCGGCGACCGCGAGCCGACCUACGGGAAGGCGAAGCGGGAGUAAUCAAGGCGCCGAGAAAUAAUCCCCACUAGACAGGCCAGGAAGACCGUACCGCAAACCGACACAGGUGGGCGGGAUGAGAAAUCUAAGGCGCUCGAGAGAACUCGCGUUAAGGAACUCGGCAAAAUGCGCACGUAACUUCGGGAGAAGUGCGGCCAUUUUUUGUUUACCAAUAGGUAAAGGGUGGCGACACAAAGCAGUCCCAGGCGACUGUUAUCAAAAACACAGGCUUCUGCGAACC
RNAcentral lists this ribosomal RNA (853 nucleotides) under uncultured Treponema sp. RNAcentral describes it as "partial 23S ribosomal RNA". The record is from RNAcentral. Lineage: Bacteria; Pseudomonadati; Spirochaetota; Spirochaetia; Treponematales; Treponemataceae.